GCAAGUCGAACGCGAAAGCGCCUUCGGGUGUGGUAGAGUGGCGGACGGGUAGUAACGCGUGGGAAUCUGCCCUGCAGUGGGGGACAACCCGAGGAAACUCGGGCUAAUACCGCAUACGUCCUAUGGGAGAAAGGGGGCCUUCGGGCUCUCGCUGCAGGAUGAGCCCGCGUCCGAUUAGCUUGUUGGUGGGGUAAUGGCCCACCAAGGCUGCGAUCGGUAGCUGGUCUGAGAGGAUGAUC
RNAcentral lists this ribosomal RNA (239 nucleotides) under uncultured bacterium. Its description in RNAcentral is "partial 16S ribosomal RNA". It matches the Rfam family "Bacterial small subunit ribosomal RNA", at positions 57 to 305 of the family's 1533-position model. The record is from RNAcentral.